UAUAAUUGAAAACGUUCAUAUCAAUUUCUCUAUCAAAUUUUGUACAAAUUGAACUUCAUUUCGCGUACUUUGUGUAUUACACCUAUCCACACGUAUGUACAUACUUGUACGAAAAUACGCAAUAUCUUUUUUCUUAUAUAGAUGUGAACUUUCCUUAAUUAAUCCCAACUCCCUUCAGCUCUUGUUGUGCGAAGUUAAUUCACAGUUAUCUAAUCGAAAGGAAGACCGGAAAAAAAAUAGAAAAUAUUAAAAAUAAUUUAAUAAUUGCCAAACACCGUUACAUGUAUUACACAAUGUGCACGUGACAUAUUAUUGGAAAUCAUCUAAACUUUUGUGAAUGUUGAGAUUAGCCAGCGUCAGUUUUUUAAUUAAGUCCAAUAUAACGUAUAUACUUGCAGCGACAUCGAAGAAACAAAUAAACGUUAAUAUUAUCCCUAUAUAAUGCGUGUUUAUUCGAUUUGUAUAAAAAUAAUGAGUAAUAUUAAUGGUAUAAUGAUAAUAGAAAGACUUUAUAAUCGUUAUAAUAAAAGGAUGCGAUUUAAUUAUCUGCGCCGCAAUGCGCGAGAAUUGAAAAUUUUUCUGUUCGCUUUUGUGAGAAAAUACAUAUUGGCGUUGUAACAAAAGUUAACGAAUUCACAAUAUUGAUUUUCAUGUUCCUGUGUGGCAGGUCUCAUCAUUCAAAGACUUUUCGACGAUACAAUGACACGCGCAUGGAAGCCAACACAAAUUAAAGUAAAUUGUUAUAUGAAAAAAGUUUAUUGUAUAUGAAGCUACUGUGAUGUUACCGUUGAAUAUAAUAAAUAUACAUACAAUAUA
Long non-coding RNA from Diprion similis, 816 nucleotides. RefSeq lists it as uncharacterized. The record is from RefSeq and is a predicted model, not a curated record. Lineage: Eukaryota; Metazoa; Arthropoda; Insecta; Hymenoptera; Diprionidae. The transcript is spliced from 2 exons.